AACUUUCAACAACGGAUCUCUUGGUUCUCGCAUCGAUGAAGAGCGCAGCGAAAUGCGAUACCUAGUGUGAAUUGCAGCCAUCGUGAAUCAUCGAGUUCUUGAACGCACAUUGCGCCCGUCGGUAUUCCGGCGGGCAUGCCUGUCUGAGCGUCGUUU
This 156-nucleotide ribosomal RNA is filed under the name Pichia membranifaciens. Its description in RNAcentral is "5.8S ribosomal RNA". It matches the Rfam family "5.8S ribosomal RNA". Rfam says of the family: 5.8S ribosomal RNA (5.8S rRNA) is a component of the large subunit of the eukaryotic ribosome. It is transcribed by RNA polymerase I as part of the 45S precursor that also contains 18S and 28S rRNA. Functionally, it is thought that 5.8S rRNA may be involved in ribosome translocation. RNAcentral also lists the same sequence under 5 other names. Lineage: Eukaryota; Fungi; Ascomycota; Pichiomycetes; Pichiales; Pichiaceae. The record is from RNAcentral.